Molecule: long non-coding RNA, 313 nt
Filed under: Mytilus galloprovincialis (Mediterranean mussel)
Lineage: Eukaryota; Metazoa; Mollusca; Bivalvia; Mytilida; Mytilidae
Source: RNAcentral
AUAGUGCAUUGAAGUUUCAUGUCCCUGCUUUUCAACAUGCAUGGAUAUCCAAGUUUACACAAGUGUGGCAUUUUGAAUAAGUGUCUGUAUGUAUUACCAUUUACAUUGAAAAUUGUUUAAAUAGGGAAAAAAGUAUUAUGAGAUAUUUGAAGAAUAGCUAUUAUCAUUAUACUUUUUUAGACUGUUUCAAAUAGAUAUUGCCACUUGAGUAUAUAAGACACCAUGGAAUACACAGAGCAUAAAAGUAAUAUCCGUCUAUAGAUGGAUGGAUGGCUAUUUUUAAAACAUUCAGUGGCUUAUUUAGGAUGACAAC